RNAcentral lists this ribosomal RNA (497 nucleotides) under uncultured bacterium. RNAcentral describes it as "partial 16S ribosomal RNA". It matches the Rfam family "Bacterial small subunit ribosomal RNA", at positions 28 to 507 of the family's 1533-position model. The record is from RNAcentral.
GAUGAACGCUGGCGGCGUGCCUAAUACAUGCAAGUCGAGCGAACAUACUAUGGUCUUGCUCCUCUGACGUUUGCGGCGGACGGGUGAGUAACACGUGUAUAACCUCCCUCUAAGACUGUGAUAACUUCGUGAAACCGGAGCUAAUACCGGAUAAUAUAUUGUACCGCAUGUUUCAAUAGUGAAAGACGUUUUUUCUGUCACUUAUAGAUGUAUCCUCGCCGCAUUAGCUAGUUGGUAAGGUAACGGCUUACCAAGGCAACGAUGCGUAGCCGACCUGAGAGGGUGAUCGGCCACACUGGAACUGAGACACGGUCCAGACUCCUACGGGAGGCAGCAGUAGGGAAUCUUCCGCAAUGGGCGAAAGCCUGACGGAGCAACGCCGCGUGAGUGAUGAAGGUCUUCGGAUCGUAAAGCUCUGUUAUUAGGGAAGAACAAAUGUGUAAGUAACAAUGCAAGUAGAGACGGUACCUAAUCAGAAAGCCACGGCUAACUACGUG